GACGAACCGUACGAACGUUAUUCGGAAUUACUGGGCGUAAAGUGUGCGCAGGUGGCUUCGCAAGUCGAGUGUGAAAUCCCCGGGCUUAACCUGGGAAUUGCGCUCGAAACUACGGAGCUGGAGUGUGGCAGAGGGAGGUGGAAUUCCACGUGUAGCGGUGAAAUGCGUAGAGAUGUGGAGGAACACCAAUGGCGAAGGCAGCCUCCUGGGCCAACACUGACACUCAUGCACGAAAGCGUGGGGAGCAAACAGG
Molecule: ribosomal RNA, 253 nt
Filed under: uncultured bacterium
Lineage: Bacteria
Description: partial 16S ribosomal RNA
Rfam family: Bacterial small subunit ribosomal RNA
Source: RNAcentral